This 451-nucleotide ribosomal RNA is filed under the name uncultured bacterium. RNAcentral's name for it is "partial 16S ribosomal RNA". It matches the Rfam family "Bacterial small subunit ribosomal RNA", at positions 354 to 797 of the family's 1533-position model. The record is from RNAcentral.
GUGGGGAAUAUUGGACAAUGGGCGAAAGCCUGAUCCAGCCAUGCCGCGUGUGUGAAGAAGGUCUUCGGAUUGUAAAGCACUUUAAGUUGGGAGGAAGGGCAGUAAGUUAAUACCUUGCUGUUUUGACGUUACCGACAGAAUAAGCACCGGCUAACUUCGUGCCAGCAGCCGCGGUAAUACGAAGGGUGCAAGCGUUAAUCGGAAUUACUGGGCGUAAAGCGCGCGUAGGUGGUUUUGUAAGUUGGAGGUGAAAUCCCCGGGCUCAACCUGGGAACUGCCUCCAAAACUGCAUGACUAGAGUACGGUAGAGGGUAGUGGAAUUUCCUGUGUAGCGGUGAAAUGCGUAGAUAUAGGAAGGAACACCAGUGGCGAAGGCGACUACCUGGACUGAUACUGACACUGAGGUGCGAAAGCGUGGGGAGCAAACAGGAUUAGAUACCCUUGUAGUCCG